RNAcentral lists this ribosomal RNA (266 nucleotides) under uncultured bacterium. RNAcentral describes it as "partial 16S ribosomal RNA". It matches the Rfam family "Bacterial small subunit ribosomal RNA", at positions 337 to 595 of the family's 1533-position model. The record is from RNAcentral.
GCCUACGGGGCGCAGCAGUGGGGAAUAUUGCACAAUGGGCGCAAGCCUGAUGCAGCCAUGCCGCGUGUAUGAAGAAGGCCUUCGGGUUGUAAAGUACUUUCAGCGGGGAGGAAGGGAUGGUGCUUAAUACGCGCCGUCAUUGACGUUACCCGCAGAAGAAGCACCGGCUAACUCCGUGCCAGCAGCCGCGGUAAUACGGAGGGUGCAAGCGUUAAUCGGAAUUACUGGGCGUAAAGCGCACGCAGGCGGUCUGUUAAGUCAGAUGU